This 254-nucleotide ribosomal RNA is filed under the name uncultured bacterium. RNAcentral's name for it is "partial 16S ribosomal RNA". It matches the Rfam family "Bacterial small subunit ribosomal RNA", at positions 524 to 776 of the family's 1533-position model. The record is from RNAcentral.
UACGUAGGGUGCAAGCGUUAAUCGGAAUUACUGGGCGUAAAGCGUGCGCAGGCGGUUGUGCAAGACAGAUGUGAAAUCCCCGGGCUUAACCUGGGAACUGCAUUUGUGACUGCACGGCUAGAGUGUGUCAGAGGGGGGGUAGAAUUCCACGUGUAGCAGUGAAAUGCGUAGAUAUGUGGAGGAAUACCGAUGGCGAAGGCAGCCCCCUGGGAUAACACUGACGCUCAUGCACGAAAGCGUGGGGAGCAAACAGG